UGGGUGAGUGCUUGACUCCAAUUAUAUGACUGAGGAUGGUGGAAGAUGGCAGAAAUUGAUAAGCAAAUUAAUGUAACUGAACAAAACAUAUGGAUCCUUGAGCCUUUGAGGUUAUUAUAAGGUCAAUACUUGAACUAGUACAGUCAUCAUGAUCAUCUCCAGAAUACCUGGGAGGCUCUUCCCCAGCAGAAUUAUACAGGUGAACAACACCACCUCACCCCAGAGUGAGCGAAUCCCAGCCCCUAGGUCAGCUCUGGUCAUCCUGUGCCUAGGGGUUUGUCUCUCCAUGUUCAGUGCUCAUCGACUUCAUACGACAUGCUCGAUCAGACAUGUCAAAGAUAAGUAGAUUUAUAAAGGACUAGUGACCUGAAAAUGGACACUGAUAGAGACAUGCUCAUGUAUGUGACAGAACCUGCAGGACAGGCCUGUAUAUUGACCUGAUCAAGGUCAUUUUGAGCCUGGAUUUGUUAGCAGAUGGAGGAAUGCAUGAGACCAUUGAGACAGCAAUCGCUUGAGCAAGCCAUAUGUGCCAUGGUGCCAUUCGGUUGAAGUGGAUUGUUUGUAACAAGAACGGUGAAGACUCAUCCAGAUUGGAUAACACAGUUCUGUGAAUACAUGUAGGCCUACAUGUAACAUGUAGAUGAAACUUUCAGAGAACAUCUAAGAACAAGUGCCUAAUUGAUGGUCAGUGCUUCACACAAACAGUUUAUAGGCAUUCUGGUUUUUGUAUUUCAAGUAUCAAGGUCUUCAUGAGAUUCCUCUUUGAACCUUGGCAAUUAAAGAAAUCAUUUGAUGUGAAGACUUGUCUGCAGAUGAUUUAUGGAGUUAUAUUCCUAUUGCUUAGACCUGAGCUAUCUGUUGUCAAAGUUUUAUAGUUCUCAUCUGAUCUCAUUUCCAAUAUUCAUGAGGUAAAAUCGAGUAAUGAAUGUAAAAAAAGAAUAUUUUCCCAAAAUGUCAAAUGAGAUAAUCAAUGCUUAGAAUUGCUGGGUGAUAUUUUGAUAUUAUUGAAAAAUAUUGAAUAUUCGGUAAUGCUUUCAUGGCUUUGUUCAUCUUUCAAGAUUAUAUGAUAUGACCCCAAAAGUAAUACUGUUACUUAUGAAAAAUGAAUCACUAUUUAUUGACUACAAAUGCCAUUCUGUAUUGCUUUAAACCAACUCAACAUAAAGCUGGUACACAAAUUCCCACUUUUCAUGGACAAGCACAGAUUAUAGCCUUGCAUUUUGUAUCCCUCAUUCUUGCUCUCACAGUAUUGCUUACUUUCAUAAUGAACGAAUGAUAAUGAAUUUUCCGACUUGGCGUUGUUAUGUGUUACUGGAGAUAUUUUGUUGGCGAUAGAUGUCCAGCACUGCAGUAAUGCCUACAUGUCUUUUAAUAAGUAAUUGACAAACUCGUUUUGAGGUCAUAAAUUCCCAAUAUCAUACAUUACAUCAUGUAUCUCGGUCAUCUGAAUGCUUAAAAUUUGCACUAUACCCAACCCUCUAGUCUUCAGUUGACCUCAAUAUUAGUAUAAAGUCCUUUAAAAAAUGUAUGAUUUUAUAUUUUUUCAUUGAUUUGUUAACUUUCUAAUAUUACAACAGAAGAUGGGGAUGAUGGUGUGUGGAUGUUAUGUAUAUGCCUACAUAUGAUGUACAACUUCAAGUACAUGAAAAUGUAGCUCUCCUGCCCACAUGUGUGUGACAUAGUUGAUAUGAAGUGUGCAUAUAUGUUGUAAAUAAUAGAUUUUAUGACUGGUACAUGUACACGAUAUUGUAGUUUAGCAUUCCUUGCAUGGUAUUCUGUUCAGGAUUUGAUCUAUAAAUACAGUCCAUAAACAUCAUACCUUCAGUCUCAUGAACUGUUGACCCAUGUGAACAUCAAUUCAAUUUUGAACAUAAACUACAAUAUAGAUUACAAAAAGUUAUCUCUUUUACUAUAUAGAGACCUUAAAUUUAUGAUGGAAUAAAGAUUAGAAUUUCCUUCAUACAUUAUGUGUAGGCCUACAUUUGCCAAAAUCAACAGCGAUCUGAGAAGAAUCUGCUGUAGCUUAAAAGUUGGGAAAUACUGUCUUGCAGUAGUCCUCUCACAAGUGUUUGGCACAAAUAUAAAUAUUUAAGUCCCCUAAUCUAAUUCUUUUAUUUCCGAUUUCAAGAUAUUGACAAUGUACUUUACUGUAGGAUUAAAAAAAAUAAAUUACUGUACUUCUCAUGACAGUAAUGUUACAUUUAUGUUCACCUUGUUUACAUGUAAGUAACAGCAGGUAUCUUUUCUGGUCACUGAGCCUUCGACCUUUAAAGAGGAGUUUAUGAUUGAUGGUUUCAGACAUGUGCUGGAUGAAAGUGAAUUCAUAGGUCACAGACUUUAUUACUUAACCUAUCUUCAGUACAUUGAAUGGUGUCUUGAUAUUCAUGGAGAUAAAGAGAGAAUAUUAUUGUUCAUGUAGUCCAGACUUGCUGUUCUUAUAUGAAAUAGUGAAAACUGCUCUGGCCUUGUACAUGUAUCUAGGAUGCAAAGUAAUAAUAUGCAACCGUAUUGUGCAAUGACACGAAUUAACGAUUGUAAUUUGAAGACUGGUGGGAGGAUUGGGGUGUAACAUUAAUCUUAGCACCUUUUGCAAUUUCUGGACGUGGAUUUCCAUAGACUUUACAGUCAAGUAAAUGCAAUUGUUCAAUUGAUUUCACUGGUUCAUUUUGGGGUGACAUUUUCCCCUUGUUUUUUUAUGAAUGAUAUGUACUGCCCCAUUCGAGAACUUACAAAAUGUAUGACUUGAGAUCAAGAUGAUAAACAGUAGGCUAUAUAUUACAUCAGGAUUUUGAGCAGUGAUUAAGAGAAAGUAAUGUGCAGGAUGCCAAAUAGAAAUGCCAACAUGAGAAUAUACUUAAGUUAUUACCCAGGUGCUUCUACAAUUGUUUUUAAGAAAAAUCUGAAUAUCUUUGUAUUGAAUCAUAGUAUUGAUUCUGAAUUCAUGACGUCUGUUACGCAUCAACACUCCUGGUAUCCUAUUAUUAUGUUAGUACUGAUUGCUACAUGUACGUAAUUGAUUACUAAUUUUGGAUUUCCAUUCUUUGUAUGUAACUAGUGUUUUCAUGAUUAAUGCAGAACUCUUAUUUCAUUAGCCUUGUUCAUAGAUUUUUUGUCAUGGUUUGUUCAAUGGUUUGUUCCAUUUUAUAUUUAUAUUAUAGCUUUGCUAAUAUGACACAGAGGAGUGAAUUAUUUUAUACUCUUAUUCCAUUUAAGAUGUCAGAAUUUUGUUUCAAGAUGGACGAUUUGUGAUAGCUAAUUUUUUAAAAUUUUGUUGUGUUCCAUCAAUUUGUCUGCGUGUGGAUGUACGACAUUGUCUAUGGAUGUUAAGUGAAGAACUUUGCAUGAAUAAUGCCACCACAAAUAUUCAACGAAAAGAUGCCAAUUUCCCGUAAUUGUCAUUAAAGAUUGGGACUUGUUUGAUUUUACUUGAUUGUCGUAUUCAACCCAUCAUUGCAUUGGUCAGAUUAUCAUUGCAAACAUAUAACUUCAUCUAUUUCCCCCAAAUGUACAGCAUUUCCUUUUAUUUUUUUAUUAGAUUUUGAAGUGUGUUUACAAAAGUGAUAUAUGAGUGAUGAGAGGCACACUAACAAUGGGGAAUAUUAAAAUCUAAAAAAUUGCUAUGUAAUAUAUGUACUUUGUUUAUGCAAGUACCUUUACAUUAAUUAGUCCUGCACAGAGUCUUAGAAAAUGCAACUCAAAAUUGAAAAAAAUGUACCCAUGAAUAUUAAAUGUGAAACAAUAAUACCAUUGAUUUUACCACAGCAGAUGAUCCAUCAUUGUUUUUUUUUUUGGAACAUACAUGUGUGUACAGUACCUUAUAUAUUUCUAAUAUGAUAGUGAUAUUCAAUUGCUCUAUAAUGCUUUAUUCACACAUAAACCUUGCAGUUUCACUUAUACGGUUUAUUUGUGCAUGUACUAAGUUGAUUCUUUCAACAUUCAGAAUAUAGUUCAUUUCAGUAUUUGCAGUAUAUCUCUUCUGCCUUUGAUUGUAAUAUGAGUUCAUUCUUGAUGAAUAUAAUAAAUACAGAAAAUAACCUA
This 4038-nucleotide long non-coding RNA is filed under the name Lytechinus variegatus (green sea urchin). RNAcentral's name for it is "uncharacterized LOC121411299, transcript variant X1". The record is from RNAcentral. Lineage: Eukaryota; Metazoa; Echinodermata; Echinoidea; Temnopleuroida; Toxopneustidae.